GCUAAUACCGCAUACGUCCUACGGGAGAAAGCGGGGGACCUUCGGGCCUCGCGCCAUUAGAUGAGCCUAGGUCGGAUUAGCUAGUUGGUGAGGUAAUGGCUCACCAAGGCUACGAUCCGUAACUGGUCUGAGAGGAUGAUCAGUCACACUGGAACUGAGACACGGUCCAGACUCCUACGGGAGGCAGCAGUGGGGAAUAUUGGACAAUGGGCGAAAGCCUGAUCCAGCCAUGCCGCGUGUGUGAAGAAGGUCUUCGGAUUGUAAAGCACUUUAAGUUG
Molecule: ribosomal RNA, 278 nt
Filed under: Pseudomonas sp. SE0905
Lineage: Bacteria; Pseudomonadati; Pseudomonadota; Gammaproteobacteria; Pseudomonadales; Pseudomonadaceae
Description: partial 16S ribosomal RNA
Rfam family: Bacterial small subunit ribosomal RNA
Source: RNAcentral